AUUCAACAGUUGGCUUUUUCCAGCAGCACAACCGCAGAGGUUUCUGAUUUUUUCUCAAUCUAAACUACUACAUAGAGAGAGAGAGAAAGAGAGAGAGAGAGAGAGAGAGACGUUUCGUCUUUGGAGGACUCAUCUCAUAUCAUUACACAGAGACGUCAUUUCUUCGGACUCCUCAACCCCAUCGGCCUUGUCAUCUCACCUUCUUUCGUUGCUUGUCUGCAAGGUUUUCAAUGGAGUACAAAGAGGUGGAAGGUGUUCAGGGAGGUGUUCCCAAGAUUGGUGCAAUCUUCAUGUCUAACAUUGCAACAAAAGAAGAAUGUUUUAGACGGAAAAUUUUAGGCCUUCCUUCUGCUCAGGCAAACUUUGUAAAACAGGUUAAAGCUGGAAUGGUUUUAUUUCUAUUCGAAUUUGAGAGGAGAGAGCUUCAUGGUGUGUUUCGGGCAAGCUCUAAUGGGGUAAUGAAUUUAGUGCCCCAUGCAUUUAGUUCGUCGGGGAGUCAGUUCCCCGCACAGGUUCGUUUUACCCCUAUUUGGUAUUGUAGUCCACUUUCUGAACAUGAAUUUCGAGAUGCUAUUAAAGAGAAUUACUUUUCAAGGAACAAGUUCAACUUUGGACUGUCUGAAGAUCAGGUUUGCAGGCUACUAUGGUUGUUUAAUUCAAGAAAGUUAGAAAAUGAACAACUACCUGAGAGACACUUUAGUAGGCAAGCCAGCGAACCAAUUGGGAAAGACAGAAGAGAAGCUGGUAAUGACAGGAUUUUUGUGAGAAAUAGUGCUGAAAAAUUUGUCAAGGAAGAUGGUCUCAACCCAUCCAUCAAUACAAAAUUUUACGAGUACUCUUCAAGUAACGUUAGAAGACCUUCAAGUAAUGCUAGAAGACUAUAUGAUGACAGAUUUCUGAAGAGUGAUGGAACAGAGAAUGAACUUAGUAGUGACAAUUAUCAUGGGAAUGACAUCUUGACGGAGCAACCCAGAACAUCUUUAGGUAAAAGAAGAAGAGAUCAUGAUGGCAGGUCUUCAAUGCAAGAUAGGAUAGAAUAUGAUUGUGAUGUGGACAAUAUCUGCAUUGACCACCCAGGGGAUUCCUUGUGUAAAUCAGGGAGAGAAGCUGAAGAAAGCCAGCUUCUUCCAAGUGACAGAAUUGAAAUUAAGCGUAUCAUGGACAGAAAUAUUGGGUCUAUUUUUACAUCUGAGUACCUUGCGGACUCUUUGGCUGAAGUACAAAGAGCCACCGAUGAUGUCAGGUUUCCAAUAAGGGAUAUUUUGGGAGACAAACGUACUCCAGAUAAUGGUUUUGGAUUGGUCACAUCAACUGAUCACCUUGAGAACCCUGCUAUUAAAGCAAGAAGAACAACUGAUGAUCACAGAUUUUUCAUGGAUUGUAGGGUAGAAAAUAACUGUAACUUGGACAAUGGUCUUGAGCCAAUCAUCUCCACUGAUUGCCAGGAGAACCUUUUGGGUGGAGUGAGAAGAGCAAGCGAUGAUGGGAAAUUUGUUCUAAAUGGUAGGAUGGAAAGUGAACAUCAUGUGGACAAUGGUUUAAGGCCGUUCUUAUUGGCUAAGUACUUGGAGAACCCUCUUGGCAAAGUGGAAAAAGAAACUGAUAAUGCCAUGUUUUUGAUGAGUGAUAGAGUGGGAAUGGGAAAUGAGCAUUUUGCAAACCAACUGGAUUAUGGAAGAAAAGAAAAUGACCGUGAUAGGUUUUUGGCGCGCAUGAGUAUGGAAAAUGAACAUAAAGUUGGCAAUAAUCUUGGGCAAGUCAUCUCAACUGUGCACUCUGGGUAUCCCUUGGAUAAAAUAAGAAGAGUAGCUGAUGAAGGCAUGUCCUUAAAUAUCGAUAGAGUGGAUAAUGCAUUCAAUAUGGAAAAUUGUUUUGGGCCUCCAUUGUCAACUGGGUUCAGCGAUUUUUGUCAGUCUAGGCAAAACCCUUCAUUCUAUUCAAGCAAGCCCCAAUUGGAAACAAAUUAUUCUUUUUGUCAAGAUCAACAAAAGCCUUGUUCUGCAUUCCCUCGUUCAAUGGAACAAAAAACCUUUGAGUUCUCUUAUCCAACAUCUCAUGAUGCAAUUGUUACAAGAGCUUUUCCUUAUGAUCCUGAAUUCCCCGACAUUCAUCAUAGACGCUCAUCAUCUGUUGCGGUUGAUUGCACUUCUUCUCACUCAGUUCGAGAUUUUACUCCUCAUCGGAGUUCUUUUGGGAAUGUCUUUGAUUCUUCUGUGAAACGGGCAUCACCAUAUCGUUUGGAGGCAAAAGAUUUAAGCCAGAACCUUGAUGUUGCUUCUAAUUGUGUAAAUAAAGUUUCCUUGCCGACCAACCCCAACCAUUCCUUGUUGAGUGGUGGAUAUGGAAAGGUGGAAGCAAGAGUCACUGGUCAUGAAGUCUAUAAAGAGCCUCUAUUUUCCAAGUCCAGUUCUGCUUCUAUACCUAUUUCAAGGAGCGAAAUCUAUGAGAGGCAAGCCAAGAGCCCUUACGUUGAGUUUGGUAAGCAUGGCGAUGCAUCACAAAGCAGAUACAAACAUAAAAUUCCACAGCAUGAGACUAAUCAAGCGUUUAGAAUCCAGGAUGCUCCUUCUUUUGACAACAACAUGGGCGAUUUACAAUGUGGUUCUUCCCAUGAAAAAUCAUACAACAGUUAUAUUGAGUACUACCAGCAUUCAAAGGGCAUGUGCGCUGAUUCUAAAAGCGAGAGAAUUAGCGUUUUUUCUCGUUUGACUUCAGCAUCGGAACUACCUGGGCAAGAAAAUGAUACUUCGGAUUGUGAUGAAUGUGAUACGGAUGCAUCUGUCGAUCAAGUCAUGGACAUGCUACAUCAGAGACUGAAUCACAGGAUAAUGAAGCCAGGAAAGCUUCCAUUAGUUAGACGGCAUGAUAUGGAGAACAUGCGUAGGACUAAAAGGCGGGAUACGAUUUACAAUCAAAUAGCGUGUGAUAAAUUGACAAUGAUGAAAAAUGAUCUUGAACAAGUUAUUGAUGAUAAUUGCGAUGACAUAGCGAAAGAGACACGUGUUGUGGAUUUUAGGCGCCGGAGUGAAACUAGGGAAAUUCAGGGUGGGACCAAAACAAAAGGUUCUGUUAAGACUGUAGUUGAUGAGACAAAAGGCUCUGUGCAGAAACCAGAGCAUAAGCGCAGAAAGUUGGUUAGGCCGGUGUUUGGUAAAAAAGAACAGUUGGAUGAAGGUUUAAGCAGCGAUGGGAAUUCAAAUCUGCAGCUAAGCUGCGAUGAUUCAGUUAAAAGUCAAGAAAAUGAGAGCCGUUCAUCGCCAAAUGAUUUGUUGGUGCAGUUGACAUCUGCAACUAGUUGUGGAGGCGAUAGUGCUAAUGUUGAACAAAGUUCAAACUGCAGAGAAAAAAAUUCUGAAAAUUGUGAGUUGGUUUGGCUGGUUUCUUGCAGAAAAGAGUUGUUCCAUGAAGACAUUAACAACAAUGCCAGUUUGAAUUUGCAGCUAUAUUCUCAUGAAGGUUCUAUUACCAAAGAGAAUACUGAAAGCUGUGGUAACAUAUGUGAAGUUGGUAAUACCAAUGGAGACAGUUCAGAUUGCAGAGAAAGAAAUGCAGUAAAUGGUGGGUCAUUAUUGACAUGCGAUGAGGGUAAAGAUGGGAAAAAGAGCCGUACCUGAAGAUGGACUAGGGGAGCUUCCAUUUGCACACCACAUUUCUUUCAGUUCAUACCAUUUUUUUUUGUUUGUUCAGAUAUAAACUAGUGAACAAAAAUCAAUAGUUUGGAUAUCAACUACCAAACAAAAACUCAUGGUUGGAAUAUCAAGUGCUGAAUCGAAGGUAUAGCCGAACUAUGGGUUUCUGUUUGAUAGUUGUAUUUGAACCAUUGAUUUUUGUUCAGGUGGUAUUUGAAUGGAAAAAAUAGUGUGAACUGAGAAAAACAGGUGACUAAACAGAAGCUUCCUCAUGAAUGAAGGAUGGUGGUUGUCAAAUACCUAGCAUGCACACAAUGGAGAACAGAAAUGUUUCCGCUACGUCGCUCGAAAACUUACCCCCCGAAUCCCCCGAAAUUGAUAAAGGUGAGUUUUUAGAUCACUGUCAAUCUACCAACACCGCGCGUGAAAUAGAAGAAGAAAAGAGAGGAGAGGAGAGAAAGAGGAGCCCGUCGAAGAAGAAUACCACUGAGAUCGACCACCGACCUGGGUGGCCACCGACGACCAGCAAAAACUCUGCCGAAGUGACUGUGUUGUUCGGCAUUUCUUCUUCUGAGGCCUCUGUUUCUUCUUCUUCAUUCUGUUUCUUGUCCAAGGGUAUGUCUCUAUUUCUUCUUCUGAAAUCUAGUUCAUAGAAUGCUGCUGUUUUGUUAGUAAUGUAUUUAUUGAUUUAGUAGUGGUAAUCUUUGUACAUAAUUUUAUAAAAACCUAGUUGAUUUAUACAUAAUUUUAUAGAGGGAAAUGUUUGAGAACUCGACCGGAGAGAGAAUUAUGUAUAAAUCAGCUAGGUAUUAUCAGACUCCAAAAUUAUGUUUAUAGAAACCUAGUUCAAAAAUGGUAUUAUCCACAAAUGGAUUUCUGAAUUUGUGGACUAACCUAGUUCAUUCUGAAUUUCUGUGCUAUUCAUCUAUUUGUGGAUUUCACAAAAAUGAAUUUGUCGAUUUCAGAAUU
Camellia sinensis is the source of this 4598-nucleotide RNA transcript. RefSeq lists it as uncharacterized. The record is from RefSeq and is a predicted model, not a curated record. Lineage: Eukaryota; Viridiplantae; Streptophyta; Magnoliopsida; Ericales; Theaceae.